Molecule: ribosomal RNA, 116 nt
Filed under: uncultured bacterium
Lineage: Bacteria
Description: partial 16S ribosomal RNA
Rfam family: Bacterial small subunit ribosomal RNA
Source: RNAcentral
UACGGUGAAUACGUUCCCGGACCUUGUACACACCGCCCGCCAAGCCAUGGAAGCUGGGUGUACCUAAAGUCGGUAACCGCAAGGAGCCGCCUAGGGUAAAACUAGUAACUGGGGCU